UUUGUUUGGUGGCUGAGUCUAAUAAGCGGUAGACUGUAGAUCUAUUAACGGAGUUAAUUCUUCCCAACAAAAC
RNAcentral lists this transfer RNA (73 nucleotides) under Nassarius variciferus. Its description in RNAcentral is "tRNA-Tyr". It matches the Rfam family "tRNA". From Rfam's summary of the family: Transfer RNA (tRNA) molecules are approximately 80 nucleotides in length. Their secondary structure includes four short double-helical elements and three loops (D, anti-codon, and T loops). The record is from RNAcentral. Lineage: Eukaryota; Metazoa; Mollusca; Gastropoda; Neogastropoda; Nassariidae.